RNAcentral lists this ribosomal RNA (405 nucleotides) under Triticum aestivum (bread wheat). RNAcentral describes it as "partial small subunit ribosomal RNA". Lineage: Eukaryota; Viridiplantae; Streptophyta; Magnoliopsida; Poales; Poaceae. The record is from RNAcentral.
AUGUUACGAGCUUCUGGAAUACAAUGGGAUCUUCGUAAAGUAGAUCCUUAUGAGUCUUACAACCAAUUUGAUUGGAAAGUCCAAUGGCAAAAAGAAGGGGAUUCGUUAGCUCGCUAUUUAGUACGAGUUGGUGAAAUGAGGGAAUCCAUCAAAAUAAUUCAACAAGCUGUAGAAAAAAUUCCUGGAGGACCUUAUGAGAAUUUAGAAGUCCGACGCUUUAAGAAAGAAAAGAAUUCUGAAUGGAAUGAUUUUGAGUAUAAAUUUCUUGGUAAAAAACCUUCGCCCAAUUUUGAAUUGUCAAGACAAGAGCUUUAUGUAAGAGUAGAAGCCCCAAAAGGUGAAUUAGGGAUUUAUCUAGUAGGAGAUGAUAGCCUUACGGAUAUACCAAGGAGGGAAACGGCUUGA